This is a long non-coding RNA of Pangasianodon hypophthalmus (striped catfish), 2035 nucleotides long. RefSeq lists it as uncharacterized. The transcript has 2 exons. NCBI's taxonomy places the organism in Eukaryota, Metazoa, Chordata, Actinopteri, Siluriformes, Pangasiidae. The record is from RefSeq and is a predicted model, not a curated record.
UCGAGCUUUUUAACUGUUUAAUGUGGAUCGUACAGAAGACUCGAGUUUACAGGACUGAGGAGUUUACGCGUUUCAGUUUCUUAGUAACAUAAAGUGCAUUUUUGUCUCGUUAACUUCAAGAGAAAGAGAAGAAAUAGAGCCUGGUGAGGGAACGACUGUAUAAAGCUCCAAAAUGUAACAGGAACUAACUAACUGUUCUUACUGAUCUUUACAAAGGGCCUUGGGACUCUUUCCAUAAAUGUUAAAUAAAUGUCUCCUAACAGAAAACUAAACCAUAUAUACACAUUUUUAAUCUGUUUCUAUGGAGCGUCUGCCAUACAAGUCCCUGUGAAAGAGCUGCUACUAUAGAAACGAUGACGAUUUGCGUAUUUCACCAUGGAAAAGUUAGUUUUAUACUGGACAUUCGCUGCACAUUAGAGAUUGUCUCUUUCUUUUUCUCAAGAAAUAAACACAUAAAAUGACAAAACUUGGACAGAGAACCAAGAACAAUCGAAUAUACUUAAAAAAAAUUCUCCCGUUGAAGCUCGCUGAAGUUUCCAUAAAUGUUAAGAACCACAGUUCACCAGCGCUUUAUAGUAAUGCCGUCAGUAAGGGACCGUCUAAAAAGUGCUUAACAUAGGCAACUCUGUAAGAUUCUAUCAAGAUUAUAGCCGUCUAUAGGAGGAUAUCUGACGUAUUGCAGUAUUCGGAUACAGCACGCAUUCGGUACAGUGGGAUAUAACAUGUUAUAUGUAUUUUUUUAUUUUAAUGGUUUUAUUUAAGAUGAGGCAUACAUGUAAAACCAAAGGCACAGUGAUAGACUCUAUUAUUCCUAUCAACUACAGCCAAUAGAUUAAAAAAAAAACAAAACUCUUUUUUUUUUUUUUCCUCUGUGCUUGAUCACACGCAUGUCCAAUACAGUGAUUCAGAAGAACAUUGUGUGUUUUGCUGGUGUGGGGAUCUGUGUUUUCUUGUUGGUGGUUACCUGCACUGAUAAUCAGUGUGGAGAUCAUGUGAUCUGCAUUGUGUGGCUGCUUGUCUUGGGUCACAUGAGGCAUGUCACAUGACACAUCAGGAGAUUAUAAAGUUUGGCUUGUGGAGUUCACACUCUCUUGCUGCUGCCAUUUGCUACUGCAACUAGACUCCCGUCAUACAGGGUGACUGCUAGAACAAUGUGUUCCACUCUUCAUGAAGGACACAGGUGACUGCGUGGCAUUUGAAGGACUUGUGGCCUCCUAUUGAGUUGCUGGGCUGCAGACACUCUGGUAGUUUGUCUUAUGUGAUUUCGUUUUUUAAAUUGUUUUAUAUUGGUAUUUAAAAUGUGUUGAUUAUGUACUUGUAUUUGUAGCACUGGAGUGCCCCAUUUUAUCUUCCUGGGUUAUUGUGCUGUGGGGAGUAUUGAACACUCUUGCAAAGUAGGCCAAUACUUCUUGUAUGUUGGUUUUAUGUGUGCUGGUGAAUGAAAUUGGGGAUUAAUGUGCAUUAUUUCUUUUUAAAGGGACCAGGCCAGCCACUGUUUUAUUGUCAGUGUACAAGUCUUUUUUUUUUUUUUUUUUUUUUAGUUUGUUUGUUGGUUGUUUUGUUUGCCUUUGGCUUUGUCCUUUUUUUUUUUUUUUUGGUCCUUGGUCUAGUGUAACCCUGCCUUGACCAAGCCAGCGCGGUGGUCAUUGUGUUGGGAGCUGGCUGUUCUCCUCUUUUUGUCUCUGUAUAGGUUCUCUGUACAAGGCCGGAUCUGCACCUCACUACUGCUCCUUUCAGUUGGGGGCUGCACUGAGGGGACACUAUUUUGGUGUGUACUGGUAACAUGCAACACGGUGUGGUAUUUUGUAGUGGUAAUUACUGACCUUGUGUGUGCCGUGUUUGCUAUGUUGCAUGCUUGUAUGGUGUUGGGUUUGUUGUGUCUGUCUCUCUCACCAGGGCCUCCUAGGAGAGGAGCUGUGGGUGCCGUGCCGACCCGACCUUAUUAGUUUGAGAAUCUCCGGCCAGUUUCCCUUCGUCUCUUUUUCACAUUAGCAAUUGUACCUAUUCAAAAUUGUAAUAAAUUUGAGCUUGUGUA